This 347-nucleotide unclassified non-coding RNA is filed under the name soil metagenome. RNAcentral describes it as "partial contains 5.8S ribosomal RNA, internal transcribed spacer 2, and large subunit ribosomal RNA". The stretch from base 1 to 120 matches the Rfam family "5.8S ribosomal RNA", at positions 35 to 154 of the family's 154-position model. The record is from RNAcentral.
GAUGAAGAACGUAGUGAAAUGCGAUAAUUAAUGUGAAUUGCAGAAUUCAGUGAAUCAUCGAGUUUUUGAACGCACAUUGCGCCCCCUGGUAUUCCGGGGGGCAUGCCUGUCCGAGCGUCAUUGCUGCCCUCAAGCACGGCUUGUGUGUUGGGCUUCCGUCCCUGGCAACGGGGACGGGCCCAAAAGGCAGUGGCGGCACCAUGUCUGGUCCUCGAGCGUAUGGGGCUUUGUCACCCGCUCCCGUAGGUCCAGCUGGCAGCUAGCCUCGCAACCAAUCUUUUUAACCAGGUUGACCUCGGAUCAGGUAGGGAUACCCGCUGAACUUAAGCAUAUCAAUAAGCGGAGGA